This is a small nucleolar RNA of Polyodon spathula (Mississippi paddlefish), 121 nucleotides long. RefSeq annotates it as small nucleolar RNA SNORA65. Lineage: Eukaryota; Metazoa; Chordata; Actinopteri; Acipenseriformes; Polyodontidae. The transcript has a single exon. The record is from RefSeq and is a predicted model, not a curated record.
CCCGCCACUGUGCCUGUCUGUACCUGGUAUAGUCCAGUGGUGGCCGAGAGUGACCCCAGCUCUAGGAAGCAGGGCUGCCCUGAACAGUGGACAGCUGUGUGCCGGAAGGCCUGGGUCAUUC